Molecule: ribosomal RNA, 492 nt
Filed under: uncultured bacterium
Lineage: Bacteria
Description: partial 16S ribosomal RNA
Rfam family: Bacterial small subunit ribosomal RNA
Source: RNAcentral
AGUGAACGCUGGCGGUAGGCCUAACACAUGCAAGUCGAACGGCAGCACAGUAAGAGCUUGCUCUUACGGGUGGCGAGUGGCGGACGGGUGAGGAAUACAUCGGAAUCUACUUUUUCGUGGGGGAUAACGUAGGGAAACUUACGCUAAUACCGCAUACGACCUACGGGUGAAAGCAGGGGAUCUUCGGACCUUGCGCGAUUGAAUGAGCCGAUGUCGGAUUAGCUAGUUGGCUGGGUAAAGGCACACCAAGGCGACGAUCCGUAGCUGGUCUGAGAGGAUGAUCAGCCACACUGGAACUGAGACACGGUCCAGACUCCUACGGGAGGCAGCAGUGGGGAAUAUUGGACAAUGGGCGCAAGCCUGAUCCAGCCAUACCGCGUGGGUGAAGAAGGCCUUCGGGUUGUAAAGCCCUUUUGUUGGGAAAGAAAAGCAGCAGGUUAAUACCCCGCUGUUCUGACGGUACCCAAAGAAUAAGCACCGGCUAACUUCGUG